This 278-nucleotide ribosomal RNA is filed under the name Paenibacillus campinasensis. RNAcentral's name for it is "partial 23S ribosomal RNA". It matches the Rfam family "Bacterial large subunit ribosomal RNA", at positions 455 to 717 of the family's 2925-position model. Lineage: Bacteria; Bacillati; Bacillota; Bacilli; Caryophanales; Paenibacillaceae. The record is from RNAcentral.
AUCUGGUAAGGCUAAAUACUCCCUAGCGACCGAUAGUGAAGCAGUACCGUGAGGGAAAGGUGAAAAGCACCCCGGGAGGGGAGUGAAAUAGAACCUGAAACCGUGUGCUUACAAGAAGUCAGAGCCCUAUGAUGAAACUUCGUUUCAUCACGGGUGAUGGCGUGCCUUUUGUAGAAUGAACCGGCGAGUUACGUUCCCAUGCAAGGUUAAGGCGAGAAGCCGUAGCCGCAGCGAAAGCGAGUCUGAAUAGGGCGAGUGAGUAUGUGGGCGUAGACCCG